CUCUGCAUGUAGCUCAGUUGCUUAUAGUGCGCUGACCCGGAGUCACAGGGGCGCAGGUUCGAUUCCUGCUAGAGAGA
Paramuricea clavata is the source of this 77-nucleotide non-coding RNA. NCBI's taxonomy places the organism in Eukaryota, Metazoa, Cnidaria, Anthozoa, Malacalcyonacea, Plexauridae. The record is from the annotation of a GenBank genome assembly.